RNAcentral lists this microRNA precursor (72 nucleotides) under Papilio machaon (common yellow swallowtail). Its description in RNAcentral is "mir-929 microRNA precursor family". It matches the Rfam family "mir-929 microRNA precursor family". The record is from Rfam by way of RNAcentral. Lineage: Eukaryota; Metazoa; Arthropoda; Insecta; Lepidoptera; Papilionidae.
GGAUGUCAAAUUGACUCUAGUAGGGAGUCCGUUUAAUGCGCGACUCCCUAAUCGAGUCAGGUUGACUUCCUC